This 917-nucleotide ribosomal RNA is filed under the name uncultured archaeon. RNAcentral describes it as "bacterial SSU rRNA". It matches the Rfam family "Archaeal small subunit ribosomal RNA", at positions 1 to 922 of the family's 1478-position model. The record is from RNAcentral.
UUCCGGUUGAUCCUGCCGGAGGACAUUGCUAUUGGGAUUCGAUUUAGCCAUGCUAGUCGAGCGAGUUCAGACUCGCGGCGAAUAGCUCAGUAACACGUGGCCAAGCUCCCCUUCAGUCGGCAAUACCCUCGGGAAACUGAGGCUAACGGCCGAUACGAGACGCCAGCUGGAAUGCGGCGUUUACGAAAGACAUCGCUGAAGGAUGCGGCUGCGGCCGAUUAGGUAGACGGUGGGGUAACGGCCCACCGUGCCAGUAAUCGGUACGGGUGAUGAGAGUCAGAGCCCGGAGACGGAAUCUGAGACAAGAUUCCGGGCCCUACGGGGCGCAGCAGGCGCGAAACCUUUACACUGCACGCAAGUGCGAUAGGGGAAUCCCAAGUGCGAGGGCAUAUUAGCCCUCGCUUUUGUUGACUGUAAGGAGGUCAACGAAUAAGAGCUGGGCAAGACCGGUGCCAGCCGCCGCGGUAAUACCGGCAGCUCGAGUGAUGUCCCAUAUUAUUGGGCCUAAAGCGUCCGUAGCUGGCCAGCCAAGUCCGUCGGGAAAUCCACCUGCCCAACAGGUGGGCGUCCGGCGGAAACUGUCUGGCUUGGAACCGGAAGGCUCAGAGGGUACGUCCGGGGUAGGAGUGAAAUCCCGUAAUCCCGGACGGACCACCGAUGGCGAAAGCACUCUGAGAGGACGGAUUCGACAGUGAGGGACGAAAGCUAGGGUCUCGAACCGGAUUAGAUACCCGGGUAGUCCUAGCUGUAAACGAUGCUCGUUAGGUGUGGCACCCACUACGAGUGGGUGCUGUGCCGUAGGGAAGCCGCUAAACGAGCCGCCUGGGAAGUACGUCCGCAAGGAUGAAACUUAAAGGAAUUGGCGGGGGAGCACUACAACCGGAGGAGCCUGCGGUUUAAUUGGAUUCAACGCCGGG